RNAcentral lists this long non-coding RNA (31669 nucleotides) under Sorghum bicolor (sorghum). RNAcentral's name for it is "long non-coding RNA (SBIC_LNC011756)". Lineage: Eukaryota; Viridiplantae; Streptophyta; Magnoliopsida; Poales; Poaceae. The record is from RNAcentral.
GAUCUCACCGGAAUCACCCAGGAUGAUGUCGACGCUGGAGUCAGCCUCGCCGAGGCACUAGAGAUGCAUGAUCGUUGGCUCGAAGAACAUGGUGCUAAGCUGGGCAAGCUCGCCGUUGUAACCUGGGGAGAUUGGGACUGCCGCACUAUGCCUGAGGGGGAAUGCCGCUUCAAAUCAAAGGUAUAGAAAAGCCUCACUAUUUCGAUCACUGGAUUAAUCUAAGGCUGCCCUUCUCUGCAGCAUUUGGUCUUGGCAACGUCCGUUUCACUCUACAGGAUGCUAUUCGGAAGGCGGGGCUGCAGUGGGAGGGCCGCCUCCAUUGUGGUUUGGAUGAUGCUCUAAACACCGCUCACCUCCUCGUCGAGCUCAUGCGGCGGGGAACCCUUCUCAAGAUCAUAGGCUCUUUGGCGCCAACGCAGUCACCUCCUCAGCCUCAGCAUAAGGCGGUGCUGCCAUGUGUUGGCUCGCGUUCGACGCUACCUCCGCAGCCUCAGCCUCAGGUGCUGCUGCCAUGUGCCGCGGCCACCGGGAUGGACGCAGUGUCGUGCUGCUUUUGUGGUGUGGCCAGCAAGCUAGGCGUGGUGGCCACGCCGGGCCAGAUGCAGGGGCAUUACUUCUACGGAUGCGGCUGGUGGACUCCGACAUGUUCUUUCUUCAUGUGGGCAAUAUAAUUGCCUACGGUCUGCACAGGUAAGUACUUCCUCCAUCCCAAAUUAUAAGUCAUUCCAAGAACCUUGGUGAGUCAAAGUUUUUUAAGUUUGACCAAAUUCAUAUAGCAAAAUAAUAACAUUUUUGGUACCAACCAAGUAUCAUUAGAUUCUUUGUUAGUUAUAUUUUCAUAGUGUACCUAUUUUAUGACAUAAAUCUUUAUAUUUCUCUCUAUAUUUUUGGUCAAACUUAAAAAUAUUUUGACUCUCCAAUAUUCUUGGAAUGACUUAUAAUUUGGAACGGAGAGAUAUUAGGUAAGUAUUCACCUUUCCCCUUUUCAUAUAUCAUAUCAAUUUCUAGUGCAAAGGUUCACGAUUAUCUAUUAUUUAAGCAUAUAUGUACACAUUAUUUCAGUUUGUCUUAGUCUCAUAAAGGAUACUAGGUUUUUUUCACGCGUAAAUUUCCUGGAACGUAAAACUCAGAUAGGGUCACAAUGGUGUUGGUGGGAAGGUGCCACUCGAGUCGGGGUUGUGUGGCAUAGUCUGCACGUAAAAUCCCUUGCUUGUUCCGCAUCUUCAUGCGGCGGUUGACUGAACCGUGAGUAGCUUGUGGGGAGGUCGUUGCUGAACCGACUUCUCCGAUAGUGAUUGCGAUUCUUCAGAGAUACACUACAUCAUGGAGCCAAAGCCAAGUAAGCCUUUGCACAGACUCAAUCCUGGUUGUCCACCAUGGCCUUGAAGACACAAGAUCGGUAUGAUCGUCUCGAUGAAAGUAUUGAUCUUUUCUUCACCAUGGUGUCCAGUAUGGAUACUUUCCAGCAACAAAUGUCGUUUAACUCUCACGUGGUUGAAAAAACAGUGAAAGAUCAAGUGCUAUUGACCAAGCAGAUGAAGACCUCGUCAAAGUCAAUGCCUUGACGCUGCACAUAACCCUUUGCGACCAGCUAGGCUUUGUACUUGGAGAUGAUCCCGGCUGCGUCCUUCUUCGUCUUGUAUACCCAUUUUAGCCCGAUGGGUCGAACUCUAGGCGGUGGGUCAACGAGCUCCCAUGUACUGUUUGCCUCAAUCGCCGUCAUCUCGUCGAGCAUGGCAUGGUGCCAACAAUCGUGUUUCAGUGCCUCAUCGAGACUGGUUGGCUCGGUGUCGCGGGCGAGUAGCAGAUGCUCCUCUAGGUCCCGUGCAGCGAUGCCGGGCAUCGGUGCCGGUCCGAUUACGUUGUCGAUGCGGUGAAACCGGAGGGGGACGUCGUGGUCGUGGUCGUUGUCGAGCUGCUCGCUGAGGGAGGAGCUUGGUGGAGAGGCGAAUUCGACCCCGUGCGACGAGGUCGGGCUCGACGUCGCGGGUGCUGAGCCCUGUGCUGGUGUUCCCGCCGUGUACUGGUUCGGCGGCGGAGUUGUGGGCGAUGUUGAGGCAGAGCAUGUCGCUGUCGAAGAAGUGGUGCGUGGCACGAUGCUUGUGGUGGUGGUGACCGUGUCCGCCUCCACUGGUGACGGUUCCUCCAUGGUGAAGUCCCUUAGCUCACCGCCGUGCUCAGCGAACCAUGCCCACUGUGUCGAUUCGUCGAACACCACGUCCCGGCUUAUGUACACACGCCGGGUCGUCGGAUCGUAGACUCUGUAAGCCUUUGAUCCAGGCUCGUAGCCCAUGAACACCAUCUUGCGACUGCAAUCAUCAAGCUUGCGAAGAUGCAGUGUGUUUACCUUGACAUGAGCGAUGCACCCGAAGGUGCGGAGGUGUGCCACGUUGGGGGCUGGUACGGUGUCUUCCCUUGGAUGCUCUUGGAGGAGGAACGGUUGAGCAGGCACACGGCGGUGGUGACCGCCUCUCCCCAGAACACCCCAGGUAGCCCCUUCGGCUUCAGCAUGCUCCGGGCGAUGCCGACGACCGACUGGUUACGGCGCUCGAUGACACCAUUCUGUUGAGGGGUGAACGAUACCGUGAGCUCGCGCCGGACGCCGAGGUGAGCGCAGUACUCGAUGAAGUCAGUGGCGGCGAACUCGCCACCAUGAUCUGUCCGAAGCGCCAGGAGCUUCUUGCCGGUCUUCCUCUCCGCCGCCGCCUGGACACGCUUGAUGGCUUCUACAGCGGCAUCAUUGGUGGAGACACACCCACAUGUAGCGGGAGUAGUCGUCGAUGAGGAGAAGUAGCAGUUUUCUCUUGGUGUGGCUGGCUUGAUUGGCCCGCAGAUGUCGCCGUGCAGCAGCUGGAGCGCUUCGGUGGAACGUCACUAGGCCUGCUGAGGGAACGGUGCGCGCCGGUGCUUGCCGUCAGGCAGGCCUCACACACCUGGUCCACCUAUGUUAGCAGAGGCAGGCCACAGACAAGCUCCUCCCUUGCCAUCUUGCGGAGGGCGGCAAAGUGGAGAUGCCCAAAAUGCGAGUGCCACCGCCAUGCUUCGUCAUCGGUGCGCGCCACGAGGUAGACCGGGCAUGCCAGCUUGACGUCGAGCACGUACAGUCUCCCAGCCCAGCGGGGAACCUUGGCCAGCAGGCGCUGCUCCUCAUCGCGGAUACGCAUGACACUGUGCUCCACGAGCACCUGGAAUCCGCCUUCAUCCAGCUGCUCAACGGAGAUGAUGUUGGCGGUGAGCUGUGGUAGGUAGUAGACGCCGGUGAAGGAACGAUGUUCCCUGUUCUUGAGGGAGAACAGGACGGUCCCGCUCCCUUUGAUCCGCGCCACUGAACCAUCUCCGAAGUGCACCAAGCCCGUGACGGCGGUGUCGAGGUUGGAGAAGGCGGCGCGCGAUCCUGUCAUGUGAUUUGACGGUCCGGUGUCCAGGAUCCAUCGGUUCGGAUCUCGGUCCACCUCUUUGUCAAGGUUAGUGACGACCUUCCACUCGAUGAGGUGGAGCACAUGCGGCGGCGGUGGGGAAGAGUCCGCCGGCGUGAACUCGAUUGGUGGAUGCGCUGGUGGUGUGAGGGGAGUAGUCCCCUCCUAGGCCGUGUCGAAAGCGAGCAUUAGGGUAUGCUCCUUGUCCUUCUGGGCGACGUGAGCCUGAUGGGCCAGCUCCUCCUUGCGUCAGUCACUGGCCCAGUGGCCUUUCUUCCUGUAGCGCGGACAGGGAGAGUCUAGUGGCGGACGAGACUCGCCAGAGCCGCGCCCCCGUCCUCGGCCCCGCCCUUUGCCAUGUCCACCAGAGCCGGAGCCGUCGAUGAUGAGUUCACCGUGUCGCUCACCGUGUUGCUCCCGGUCUCCACGGCGUCGCUCACCGUGUUGCUCCCGGGCUCCACGCCGCUUGCACACCCGACGUCCACGUGAAGUCGUCGUCGAGCGCAUCGUCCGGGAAGGCAGCGGUGACGGCGGCAACUGGCCGCAACUGGGAAGAACAACUACCACGAGUGGUCGUUGAGGAUGUAGCUGAAGAUGCAAGCGCGCCACUUGUGGGAUGCCGUUGAGUACGACGACGUGGACUACGACGACGAUCAUGCUGCGAUGGACGCCAUCUGUAGUGGCGUACCGGCGGAGUAUGUCCCCAUACUGGUGGCCAAGUCGACAGCCAAGUUGGCCUGGGAGGCCAUCCGCACUCUCCGCAUCUGUGACGAUCGUGUGCGGAGAUCAACUGCCCAAACUCUCCGAAUGGAGUACGAGAACAUCACGCUCGACGCCGACGAGUCCGUCGAGGAGUUCGCCCUGCGCCUCACCAACAUCACGCAAAGGAUGGCAGCCCUCGGUGACCCAGAGCCAGAACCUCGCGUGGUGGCCAAGUACCUACGCGUCGUCUGCCCACGGUACAAACAACUCGUCAUCUCCAUCGAAUCAAUCCUUGAUAUCUCUCAGCUCUCCAUUGAGGAGGUCACCGGCCGCCUCAAUGUCGCUGACAACGUCGAGCCCGCUCCGGCGCACACCGUGAGUGGGAAAUUACUUCUCACAGAGGAGCAGUGGAUCGAGAAGUACAAGAAGAAGGGGCCAGACUCCUCUCGCGGCGGCUCCGGCUUCGGUGGUCGUGGCAAAGGGUGGGGCCGAGGACAGGGGCGCGGCUCUGGCGAGUCUCGUCCGCCACCGGACUCUCCCUGUCCGCGCUGCGAGAAGAAAGGCCACUGGGCCAGUUACUGCCGCAAGAAGAAGGACGAUCCGGCCCAUCAGGCCCAUGUGGCCCAGAAGGAGGAGGAGCAUACCCUAUUGCUCGCUUUCAACACGGCCUAGGAGGGGACUACUCCCCUCACCACCGGUGCAUCCACUAGUCGAGUUCACGCCGACAGAUUCUUCCCCACCGCCGCCUUCGGCUGAGCUCCACCUCAUCGAGCGGAAGGUUGUCCCUAACCUUGACAAAGAGGUGGACCGGGAUCCAAAUCGAUGGAUCCUGGACAUUGGAGCGUCAAAUCACAUGACGGGAUCGCGUGGCGCCUUCUCCGACCUCAACACCACCGUCACCGGCUUGGUGCGCUUCGGGGAGGGUUCCGUGGCGCAGAUCGAAGGGAGUGAGACCGUCCUUUUCUCCCUCAAGAACGGGGAACAUCGCUCCUUCACCGGCGUCUACUACCUGCCACAGCUCACCGCCAACAUCAUCUCCUUCGGGCAGCUAGAUGAAGGCGGAUUCUAGGUGCUCGUGGAGCACGGCGUCAUGCGUAUCCGCGACGAGGAGCAGCGCCUACUGGCCAAGGUUCCCCGCAGGGCUGGGAGACUGUACGCGCUCGACGUCAAGCUGGCACGCCCUGUCUGCCUCGCGGUGCGCACCGACGACGAAGCAUGGCGGUGGCACUUGCGUUUUGGGCAUCUCCACUUUGCCGCCCUCCGCAAGAUGGCAAGGGAGGAGCUUGUCCGUGGCCUGCCUCCGCUCACACAGGUGGACCAGGUGUGCGAGGCCUGCCUCGCCGGCAAGCACCUGUGCACACCGUUCCCUCAGCAGGCCCAGCGACGUUCCACCGAAGCGCUCCAGCUGCUGCACAGCGACAUCUGCGGGCCAAUCAAGCCGGCCACACCAAGCGGAAACCGCUACUUCUCGUGGAGGACUACUCCCGCUACAUGUGGGUGUGUCUCCUUCCCACAAAGGACGCCGCUGCAGAUGCCAUCAAGCGUGUCCAGGCGGUGGCGGAGAGGAAGACCGGCAAGAAGCUCUUGGUGCUUCGGACAGAUCGUGGUGGUGAGUUCGCCGCCACUGACUUCAUCGAGUACUGCGCUCACCUCAGCGUCCGGUGCGAGCUCACGGCGUCGUUCACCCUUCAACAGAACGGUGUCAUUGAGCGCCAUAACCAGUCUGUCGUCGGCACUGCCCGGAGCAUGCUGAAGGCGAUGGGUCUACCUGGGUGUUCUGGGGAGAGGCGGUCACCACCGCUGUGUACCUGCUCAACCGUUCCUUCUCCAAGAGCAUCCAAGGGAAGACACCAGACCAGCUCUGGACUGGCAGCGCCCCCAACGUGUCGCACCUCCGCACCUUCGGAUGCAUCGCCCAUGUUAAGGUAAACACACCGCAUCUUCGCAAGCUUGAUGAUCGCAGUCGCAAGAUGGUGUUCGUGGGCUACGAGCUUGGAUCAAAGGCUUACAAAGUCUACGAUCCGACGACCCGGCGUGUGCACAUAAGCCAGGACGUGGUGUUCAACGAAUCAACACAGUGGACAUGGUCCGCUGAGCACGGCGGCGAGCCGAGGGACUUCACCAUGGAGGAACUGACACCAGUGGAGGCGGACACAGUCACCACCACCAUAAGCACCGUGCCGCGCACCACUUAUUCGACAGCGACACGCUCUGCCUCACCAACAUCGCUCACAACUCCGUUGCCGAACCAGUACAUGGCGGGAACCCCAGCACAGGGCUCAGCACCCGCGACAUCGAGCCUGACCUCGUCGCACGGGCUCGACUUCGCCUCUCCACAAAGCUCCUCCCUCAGUGAGCAGCUUGACAACGACCACGACGGCGACGUCCCCCUCCGGUUUUGCCGCAUCGACAACGUAACGUAAUCGGACCGGCACCGACGCCCAGCCUCGCUGCACGUACGGGACCUGGAGGAGCAUCUGCUACUCGCCUGCGUCGCCGAGCCAACGAGUCUCGACGAGGCACUGAAGCACGAGUAUUAGCGCCAUGCCAUGCUCGACGAUAUGACGACGAUUGAGGCGAACAGUACAUGGGAGCUCGUCUACCCACCGCUGUCACACCCUGGUUUUUAAAAGAAAACCAGAGUCAUCGUAUGUGUGCUCAGGAAGUCCACACAUACAACAAAAGGAUAGAAAUAUUAGAAACAAUGUUAUAUAUAGCGGAAAACAUAUUUAUAAUAACACUUACAAACACCAGAGUACACGGAAACAGUAGCUAAAACUUCUUAGGCUCCAUUCUUCUCUGGGACGGCUGACUGGGGGCUCUGUACGCCAAGCACUCCUCAUAAGCUUCUAGAAAACUCUAUGACAUCUUUGUCCUUCUUCUGAGCAGCACUUUACUACACACUGGGGGUGGGGGGGAAAUAGCAAGGGUGGGUUCAUGUCGAACUCAACAAGUACAGACAGAAAGUAUAAUGACAUGCAAGGCUUAAUCAAAGAGAAAACACUGUUUAACUGCAGUUGAGCUUUUAAGUUGGUAAACUUUUAUUACAAUUCUUUUAUUAAAACAACCUAUUACUAAAUAUGAGUGAAGCAUCACAACCCUUAAUUAGAUGAAAGCAAUAUUAUUACUCGUCAUUAUAAUAAUAAUUAUUAUUAAGAUUACCGAGGUAUCCUGUACUCCAGGAGAAGUCGCGCCCGCGACAUAUGCAGGGCGACCGAGCGCGCGGGGGCCAGGCCCCGCGCGUCGCAGGGGGAGGACGCCCAACAGAUUAGGGACUAGAUUAGGAAAUAGAAUUAUAAUUAGCCUUAUAUUUAGGAGAGUUUUACUCCAACUAGUAUUCAGCCUCUGGCUAUAUAUAUCUGUAAUCAGGACUUUGAGAUAUCAAGAAAGAAUUGUUACCCUAAUCUCUCUCUUCCCCAACGCUCUCAAGCCCGAGCCGCCGUGAGGGGUAUAACCUCCGCGAUCGGAAGACAACGGCCAGAGACUACGAACUCCGUAGUCGAGGGCCACCUACCCUAGAUCACCAGGCCCUUGACAGCUACAGAUUUCCAUCAACCAGGAGGAGCCAGGAUGAAGCACCAGUCCGCACUUAGAUUAGGAUGCUGGAAGAGAAACUUCGUUAUUUUUCUGUCUGCUCUUCUUUUUUAGGAAACUCCUGUACCUGCACUUACUGUUUUGUUUCCUAUAUACUAUAAUGAAAAGGCGGAGCACCUGCCGUUGUUCCUUAAAGAACUUGUUGUCAUGUGCGGAAAGACGUACACAAGGCGCAGGCGCGCCCGCGACGUACGCCGCGCGGCUGAGCGCGCAGGGCGCGCGACCCAGCAGCUCGAUGGGGCAACUUCCAGUGGCUAGAAAUCAGGGAUUAGAUUGGAGGUUGUUUUGGUUAGUCUAUAAUUAGGGGAUUUCCCUUCCAUAGUUUGUUGGGCCAUUGGCUAUAUAUUCCUGUAACCAGGGAAGAAUCAAUCAAGCAAGAAUUAAUCUCCUAUCUCCUUCUUCCCCGCGUCUCCUAAGCCCAGCCGGCUGAGAGGGGUAUAACCUCCGCACUGGAAGACUCUGCCGGAGACUACGAGCUUCGUAGUCGAGGGCCAGCUACCCUAGAUCACACUGCCCUUGACAACCUGGUAUCACGGUCUCGUCGAUCCUCUCCCACCCGCUCCUCCAGUUCCUCUUCCACUGCCGCCCACCACCAGUUAGCCGCCGCGCCACCGUCACCCACCUCGUCCGCGUCCAUCGCCCUAGCGCCCAGCAUGACGGAGCCCUCCGCAGCCGACCUCCUGGCGGCCAUCAAGGCCCUCACCGAGGACAUGGCGACCAUGAAGGCCGAUAUGGCCUCGCUGAAGAAGGAGAAGUCGGAGUCGUCCGCCGGCGGCGGCGGCGGCGGCAACCGGCACGCGGAAGGUCAGCACACUGACUACCCGCCCAAGCACAAGAAGUGGGACUUCCCACGCUUCGACGGCACCACCGACCCCAUGCUCUUCCUCAACAAAUGCGAGGCAUAUUUCCGCCAACACCGCACCAUGGCGGAGGAACGCGUGUGGCACGCUUCGUACAACCUCGAGGGCGUCGCACAGCUGUGGUAUAACCAGCUCGAGGAAGACUCUAGCACGCCCACCUGGGCGCGCUUCAAAGAGUACCUGCACCUGCGGUUCGGGCCACCGCUCAGGUCGGCGCCGCUGUUCGAACUCGCCGAGUGCCGGCGCACGGGCACCGUCGAAGAGUACUCCAACCGUUUUAAGGCGCUUCUACCUCGCGCAGGUCGCCUGGACGAGGAGCAGCGUGUCCAGCUCUACACCGGCGGCCUCCUUCCGCCGCUCAGUCAUGUCGUUCGCCUCCACAACCCCGACUGGCUCGCCGUGGCGAUGAGUCUCGCGUGCCAGGUCGAGCUGAUGGAGGUCGAGCGGCCGCCGCCACCCGCGCCACGUGCUCCUGCGCGGGGCAUUCUGCCGGCGCCCGCGCCCCGCGCUGCCCUGCCGCCCCCACCGCCACCACUGGCCUUGCCGGCUCCGCUAGCAGCCGCGCAGCCGGGCCGCGGGGACGGCCGGCGUCUCUCGCCCGAGGAGAUGGCUGAGCGUCGCCGUCUCGGUUUCUGUUUCAACUGCAAUGAGAAAUAUACUCGCGGCUAUAACCGUUUUUGCAGGCGCAUUUUCUUCCUGGAAGGCGUCGAGAUUGACGACGCCCCGGACGACGUGGCAGCUGCCGAGCCCGACGCCGAGGCUCCCUGUUUCUCUCUCCAGGCUGUGGCUGGGGUCCCUGUGGCGAGUACCAUGCAGCUCCGCGUGUCCCUCGGCGCCGCGACCCUCGUCGCUCUCCUCGACUCUGGCAGCACGCACAACUUCAUCUCGGCGGCAGCAGCCCGGCGUUCCGGCCUUCCCCUGCGUCAGCGGCCUCGCCUCACUGCCUUGGUCGCGAACGGCGAGCGCGUCACCUGCGACGGUGUCAUCCGCGACGCUCCUCUGCUCAUCGACGGCGUCACGUUUCCGACCGACCUCUUCGUCAUGCCGCUGGCCGGGUACGACGUCGUCCUGGGGACGCGGUGGCUGGGCGUGCUGGGGCCCAUCGUCUGGGACCUCGGCAGCCGGCGCGUGACGUUCCAGCACCUGGGGCGCCCUGUCUCCUGGACAGGCAUCGCCUGCCCUGCGGUGCCGACACUGGGUGUCACAUCAGAGGUCGGGCCGCUCCUCGACGCCCUGCUGCACGCGUACGGGGGGCUCUUCGCAGACCCGACAGGUCUGCCCCCCAAACGCGCGCACGACCACCGCUUCACCCUGAAGCCCGACGCCCAGCCCGUCGCUGUCCGGCCAUAUCGGUACCCAGCAGCGCACAAGGACGAGUUGGAGCGGCAGUGCGCCGCUAUGAUCGAGCAGGGUAUCGUCCGACGCAGCGACUCGCCCUUCUCAUCGCCGGUUCUCCUCGUCAAGAAGCCGGAUGGGUCGUGGCAUUUCUGCGUCGACUACAGGGCGUUCAAUGCGCUCACCGUCAAAGACGCCUUCCCGAUCCUGGUGGUUGACGAGCUCCUCGACGAGCUCCACGGCGCCAAGUUCUUCACCAAGCUCGACCUCCGGUCCGGGUAUCACCAGGUGCGGAUGAGGCCGGAGGAUGUGCACAAGACGGCGUUCCGCACCCACGACGGCCUCUACGAGUUCCUGGAGAUGGUGUUCGGGCUGUGCAAUGCCCCGGCGACGUUCCAGGCCUUGAUGAAUGACGUGCUCCGGCCGUUCCUCCGCCGCUUCGUCGUGGUAUUUUUUGAUGAUAUUCUCAUUUACAGCAGGACAUGGGCCAAUCACCUCCGCCACCUUCGGGCCGUCCUCGACGAACUGCAACGCCACCAGCUCUUCGUCAAGCGCUCCAAAUGUUCUUUUGGCGCGCCCUCUGUCGCCUACCUCGGCCAUGUCAUCUCCGCGGCGGGCGUGGCCAUGGAUCCGGCCAAGGUGCAGGCGAUCCACGACUGGCCGGCUCCGCGAUCGGUGCCGGCAGUCCGCGGCUUUCUCAGCCUUGCGGGAUACUACCGCAAGUUCGUCCACGGCUACGGGGCCCUUGCCGCGCCACUAUCGGCGCUCCUCAAGAAGGAGGGCUUCUCCUGGGACGACGCAGCCGCGUCGGCGUUCGCGGCCCUCAAAGACGCUAUCACGUCGGCCCCCGUCCUCGCCAUGCCGGACUUCACCAAGCUGUUCACCGUUGAAUGUGACGCGUCGACCGUCGGGUUUGGGGCGGUCCUAACUCAGGAGGGCCACCAUCCAGGCCGUGCGGCACUGGCGGCCGUACCUCUGGGGGCGGAGCUUCACCGUCAAGACAGACCACUACAGUCUGAAAUAUCUCCUCGACCAGCGCCUCGCCACGAUUCCCCAGCACCAUUGGGUCGGCAAGCUCUUGGGCUUCGACUUCUCGGUGGAGUACCGCUCCGGCGCCACUAACGUCGUCGCCGACGCCCUCUCUCGCCGCGACACCGAAGAGGGGGAGGCCAUGGCGAUCUCGGCGCCCCGCUUUGACCUCGUCGACCGCCUGCGCCAUGCCCAGGCCACCGACCCAGCCCUGGUCGCCCUCUACGCCGAGGUCCGUUCGGGCGCCCGCGCUGCACCAUGGGCGCUGGUGGACGGCAUGAUUACCUACGACGGCCGCCUGUACAUCCCGCCCACGUCGCCGCUUCUCCAGGAGGUCGUGGCCGCCGUCCACAACGAUGGUCACGAGGGCAUCCACCGCACCCUCCAUCGCCUCCGGCGCGAUUUCCACUUCCCCAGCAUGUGCCGCAUCGUGCAGGCGUUCGUGCAGGCCUGCAGUACCUGCCAGCAGUACAAGUCCGACCACCUCAGGCCAGCGGGACUGCUGCAGCCGCUACCGGUGUCGUCCGCCGUCUGGGCUGACAUCGGCAUCGACUUCAUCGAGGUGCUGCCCAAGGUGCAGGGCAAGACGGUCAUCCUCUCCGUGGUCGACCGCUUCAGCAAGUACUGCCACUUCAUACCGCUGGCGCACCCCUACACAGCGGAAUCUGUCGCCCAGGCGUUCUUCGCCGACGUCGUCCGUCUACAUGGCGUUCCGCAGUCUAUCGUCUCGGACCGCGACCCGGUGUUCACGUCCGCAUUCUGGCAGGAGCUUAUGCGGCUCACGGGGACAAAGCUCUUCAUGUCGUCAGCCUUCCACCCGCAGACGGACGGCCAGACCGAGGCCGCCAACCGCGUCAUCGUCAUGUACCUGCGCUGUUUCUCCGGGGACCGUCCUCGCCAGUGGCUCCGAUGGCUGCCCUGGGCGGAGUACAUAUACAACACCGCCUACCAGUCCUCUCUCCGCGACACGCCGUUCCAGGUGGUCUACGGCCGGGAUCCCCCGACCAUUCGCUCGUACGAGCCUGGCGAGACCCGAGUGGCCGCGGUGGCUCAGGAGAUGGAGGACCGCGCCGCCUUCCUUGACGACGUCCGCUAUCGCCUAGAGCAGGCUCAGGCGGCGCAGAAGCGUAUCUACGACCGACACCAUCGCCCGGUGUCCUUCCAGGUCGGCGACUGGGCCUGGCUGCGUCUACAGCAGCGUGCUGCGGCGUCCCUCCCCAACGCGCCCAAGGGGAAGCUCAAGCCUCGCUAUGUCGGGCCGUAUCAGGUCCUGGAGUUGAUCAAUGACGUGGCUGUCCGCCUCCACAUCGGUGUCCUCCGGAAGUUCGUCGGCGCCCCACCUGCAGCACCGCCUCCACUGCCUCCCCUCCUGAACGGGGCUGCUGUUCCUGCUCCCGCCAAGGUCAUCAAGGCACGGAUCGCUCGGGGUGUGCGUCAGCUGCUCGUCGAGUGGCAGGGCGAGCCAGUGUCUGCUGCUACUUGGGAGGAUCUGGAGGAUUUCCGCUCUCGGUUUCCGACCUUUCAGCUCGAGGACGAGCUGGACUUCGAGGCGGGGAGAGAUGUCAUGUGCGGAAAGACGUACGCAAGGUGCAGGCGCGCCCGCGACGUACGCCGCGCGGCUGAGCGCGCAGGGCGCGCGACCCAGCAGCCCGAUGGGGCAACUUCCAGUGGCUAGAAAUCAGGGAUUAGAUUGGAGGUUGUUUUGGUUAGUCUAUAAUUAGGGGAUUUCCCUUCCAUAGUUUGUUGGGCCAUUGGCUAUAUAUUCCUGUAACCAGGGAAGAAUCAAUCAAGCAAGAAUUGAUCUCCUAUCUCCUUCUUCCCCACGUCUCCUAAGCCCAGCCGGCUGAGAGGGGUAUAACCUCCGCCCUGGAAGACUCUGCCGGAGACUACGAGCUUCGUAGUCGAGGGCCAGCUACCCUAGAUCACACUGCCCUUGACACUUGUUAAGUGCCUGUGUUCUUGCUUGUGAUAAUCUGGUUGUAAAGAUUUUUUGUUCCUUCUGGGUAAUAUAAUCUUGAAGUGUGAAUGAAUGGGAUAUAUUUUGCCAGAAUUCAGUCUGGAAUUUAUAUUAUGUUCUGCUGAUGCUAGCCAAAAGAGUGUGAUAAAAAUAUAUCUGGUAGAAGUUCACUCUCUGGUUUGACCAUGAGUGUUGUGUUUUCUAAUAAGAACACUGAUUUCUCAUAUCAUCAGUGUAGAAAGGACACAGAGGGAGGGGAGGGGUCAUUCAUAUUGACGGUAAAUUUGUUUAUGCCUCCUUCUUUUGUAUGUCAAUGGAGUGGAACAUUAUCUUCUAUAUGUAUGUCCUGUAUUGCCCUUUUUCCUUGGUACAGGCCGUUUCACUUGUUUUUUGGAAUUGUUUAUUUAUAGAUAGAUGAGAUGCUUGAUUAUGCGUUUUCAGUUGACUUGCUUCUGAAACUUAGCUGAUGGCAAGUUUCAAUUUCCAUGCAUUUUGAGCGGCAAACUAAAAGCUGAAGCUGUUCUGAAAUAUUUUGUUCUAGUAUUCAAUCAGUUCCAGUGCUAAUGUGUUUGCAUAUGUCUGUGUGGUAUUUUUCUGCUUCUUUUGUUUCAGAGUAUCUUGCGCUUGAUCUGUGCAGCCGUGAUUGGUUAGGGCCUCUGCAACUUGGCGCCAUGCUAAAGGAGUACACUUUUCAUUUUCUCUGAAUUGCUCUAGCUUGAUUUGUUUGCAGUUUCACCUUUUCAGAUGCAGUGAUCCUAAAAAAAAACAUUUCUUUAACCAUGACAAGGAUACAUACACAAUUUGUUGAACUUGUUCAUUGAUCAUUUUACUGUUAUUUUCAAUUUCUCGCACGCCAUUGUGACCAUAAGGAGUGCAUUGAAGUCAUACAAGGUAGAAGAAAAGGUUAGUAUUUUAAGAAAUUAUAAACAUCUUGUGUUGACAGUAAAUUCUCAAAUUACAUUUGAAAUACCAAUUAUAUGUUAAUGAUACUGGACAAAUUUAAAAUAUGUCACUCCUUGACAUUCUUUAUUUUUUAAAAAAAUAAUUCUUUAAUCUAGUAGCUAUUUACUGCAAAUAAUAUAGAUAUGUCCUUCGCCGUUCGCUCCUUUCCAAACAGAUGAUCGACCAUGGAAUGGAAUUGGGCUUUGCUCUUCUUCUCUGCUAUUGGUGGAGGAUUCAAGGGAGAUGGAACCGAAUCGCUUGAACCUCUCGUAUGGAGUCAGUUACCCCUAAUCUCCUAUACAACUAAAAAGAACAAAAAAAUACCACCAAAUGGUGCGACAUUUUUUGGGUCGCUUCCACCUCCCCUCCAUGUGAACUCACCUAUGCAGGAGGUGGAAGGGUAUGAAAUGAAAUAAAAAAAUAAGAAAAGAUUCCUGAUGUAAAUUUACAAUAGAGAAUAAUAUAUAAUCAAGGAGGUAGAAGGGUGCAAAAUGAAAUAAAGAGAAAGAAAGAAUUCCUGAUAUAAAAUUUCAUUUAUGACACAAAAUCUCGGUCCCUCAUCUAAAGAAAAGAAAAUAAUCGCACCCCCGAAUCCUGGGACGUCGCUCUCGCCCUCGCCCGUCCUCGUCCUGGGACGUCGUCCUCGCCCUCGACCGUCCUGGGAUGUCGCCCUCACCCGACGUUGCACCUUGCCCUCGCCCUUGAAGCUAGGACGUCGCACCUCGCCCUCGCUAAUUGCCCGUCCUUGAAGCCGUCGUUGAUCACCGCAUCUCAUCUGCAAUCCAGCACCGGUUAAAUUUGUUGGCAGCGCGUGCGUAACUGCGUUUCCUUCCUUCAUUUCCUGGGAGCGGGCAGCAGCCCUGGCCAGUCCUCGGCCAGCAGCAGCCAGUCCCGUUCACCUAGCAGCCAUCCAUGCCUGGGCACAACCCUAAAACGAGGUGAGUUAGACGACUAAAAUCAUGUUGAUUGGAGUUACAUAUACUUUCAAAUCUUGGUGCAUAUGUUCAUAACAAGCAUAUGGUUAUCUGUAAGUGGAGAAAAAAGAUUACAUGGAUCGUACAAUGGUUUGUUCUAAGUAUGUGUGAGUGUAAGGAUUUAUACUGAGAUUAAUAAUACAUGUAUAGUGAAAAAUAAAUAUGUACAUAAAACAAUUGAAAUAAUUUUAUUUUUUAAAUAUGACAUUGCCCAUAAUAUCUUGGUCACUUGAGUGUAAGGAUUGAUACUGAGAUUGUGCUAGCUAUUUUUGAGAACACAGCUUCACCAAUAAAGUAAGGUAUGGAAUAAUGAAAUACAACUAAAUUUACCUUGUAUAGAUCAUCCAAAGAUUUCCAUCGAGUAUAAAUACCAAGCUCACCAUGUAUUCGAAGAUAAUAAUUACCAAUCUCUAGGAAGAAAUCUUUGAAUGAAAAAAGGCCUCUUAUAGGAUACAGUAUCAAAUGGAUGCAUGAAAAUGGAAGCUUACCCUUAGAUGAACAUGCUCCAAAGAGAGGAUGAAAAUUGUUAGUUUAACCAUUUUAAUGGUCACACUUCCACUAAGAUCUAUAUUGAUGACACUCAAACACUCAUUUUAAAUCUUUCUACAUAUGGGUCCUAUUGGAAUUAGUUGCAUAAACUCUAAUCCUGUACAUAUAAAUAAAAGAAAACAAAACAAAAGACUUGUGAGAUAGCGAUCUGCAUGCGCAUUACCAACUGAAGAAUACACAAAAUGUAGUCUAGAUAUGUCAGACCUCACUUAUGCUAAUCUCCUUGAGACAAAAAGCAAUAUAAUUCAUGUGUAUCUCCUGAAACAAUGAAUUGCAGCACCUGCAUGCACCAAAAAAAGGAGUCUUGAUAUAUCAGCCCUCACCUAUGGUAAUCUCCUGAGACAAAAAAUGUAAUAUCACAGUUUGCAUUUGACAUUGUUAGCAUAAACUAAUUGAUGAUCAGGUCUUUGAUACUCUCAGUCUGGAUGUCUAAGUAAAAUGCCAAGAAUAAAUGUUCUCUGUGAUCUCUUGAUUACCAUCUUUUUCUCAUAGGAAAGAAAAGGAAAGGGUAAUAAGCUAAAACUCAUUCCCAUCAAGAUCAUAGUAAAUAGUUGUGAUUAUCCAAUCAAUAAGCGGCAUCAAAACAUCCUUGAUUCGUGAGAUAUCUUAGCAGCGGAUGUGUCCAUUCGUGCAUAGGGUAAUUAUGGAUAUGAAAAGAUCUAUUCGGUCCAUAGUAAAGUCAAUGGAGACGAAUAUUCUUUCCAGCCAUUGCAAACCUUCAAUCAAAACGCUUAAUACACAAAAAGUAAGGAUAUCAAAUUUUGUGCACAUAUUUAAGUGAAUGAAAAAUCUCUCACACACAACAACAAAUUACCUUGCAAUGAAGACAAUUCUGAAUUUAUGGGAAGCUUUGCACCUUUGUGUCACCUUUCUCGUCAAAGACACAUCUACAUGAGAAAUAUGUUGCUUUUCUAUCAGACAGAAUACAUGCCUCUGUCUAUCAAAAAAAAACAAAGAUUGUCACAUAGCCUGCGCCGCCCAGUGAGUAAACAAAAGAGAUAAAGUUCUGCAUGAAAUAUUUACCUGUUCUAUAACAGAAAUUAGUUCCAUGGCAGUAGCUUUAAACUGCCUAGAACUAGAAAGAGCGAUAAGAUCUAGGUCUUGCUCUGCCUGCUCCAAUUCUAAAAGUUUACAGACAUAUUAGUAGAGAUGUAAAAGUCUAUUUUAUAACAAAUAAAUUCAAAGAAGAAAAAAUAGAUGGAUAAUUACAUCAUCCUUUAGGAAAGGUUCUCUUUAAGAUACAUUAACCUUUAAGGUAUAAGGUAUUGCUUGAGAAGAAAAUGUACUUAUAUGUACUAUGCUAUAAAAGCCAGAAACUUAAACUACAAUGAACAGAUAACAGAAAGAACAAACACAAGUUUCUUUUAUUCAGGAAGUAAAUGCAUGUCCACAAUGCCCAGCAAUUUUGCUAAUAUAGAAAAAGUUGAAGCCACAGUCUUUAUCUCACCAGGAGACAGCAAAGAACCAACAACUGUUGAAGCCGCAUCUGACCUUGUUGUUGCACAUGGACACCUCGGUCCCUGGUCACGUCGGGGUAGAGCUCCUGCUCGUGAGAAGCAAAGCUUGCUGGAGCCGCGUCGCGUCGCGGCGCCGGAGUUCUUGAGCACGGACCAGCCGAGGCUCGCACAGACGCACACGCCCGACCCACUGGAGUGUGCGGUGCAUGGCUCCUUCACGCGGGCACUAGGGCGGAGAGUAGCCGAGGCAGACACGGCCGGCGGAGAGGGACGGUGGCGCGGACGCGCGAGGAGUAGCAGAGGGACACCAGGUCGCCACGCCCGUGCAGAGAUGAGCGGCGGCAGGGAGUCGUCGUGUUGCUGCACAAGGAGGAGCGGAGGGACGCCGGGUCGGGAGAUCCACGUUGGAAAGCUCCGGGGAGGCAGCUCCGCCGGGCCCUGUGGCAUGGAGCAGCGGUCAGGGAAGAAGAAGCAACGUGGAUUUGUUACAACCGGCGGCAGGUACCCACCUUGAUCGGACGGACAGGAGGAAGUGCGGGCGUGGAGAUUGGGUAGUGGACAUCUGGUGACAUGGCAGCCGCGGCCAAUGAUUGUAGAUUAAUAGUACAGCAUGGAUCUGACAUAGUGACAUGGAUGAAAGAGAGAGGAGAUUGCUUGUGUGGACUGUGGAGUAUGGUUGGCCGGCCGGGAGUUAGGUAUGGAAGUAAAUGCGGGGCAAGAGCUCCUUCCGGCGUACAGUAGGCCGGACUUCCCUCUCUCCUUUCUGGCCUUCGCCCUAUCCUUCCUCCCCUGCCCGCUGCCCGCGCCCCCAUCCUGCCCGGCGCUCAUGCAUCGACGAGCGCGGCCUUCCUGUCCAAGCUCCACGCGCUCGCUGCCGCGCUAUGCUCCCGCGUCGGUCUCGGCGUGACGUCGUGUUCGUGCUCGCGCCCACGGGCGUCCGUGCUCUACUCCACGCCCAUGUCCGUCGGCGCCGUCGUGGCACCCACCAACCCGUCCCUCACCGCCGCCGAGGUCUCCUGCCUGCUCGCGCUCUCCAACCCCUGAGUCACAUCUGCCGUCGCGGGCACCAGAGGCAAGCUCCCUGCCGGGCUCCGCACCGUGCUGCUCGACUCCCCGAUGUUCAUCUAGUUCCUGCAGGAGCUCGACAAGGACGCGGUGGCGAUGACUCGACAAAGACGCGGUGGCGAUGACUCGACAAGGACGCGGUGGCGAUGACUCGACAAGGACGCAGUGGCGAUGGUCCUGGUCCGGCAGUCGGAGUGUCAGACUCGGCGGCGGUGCUGUACUUAUUAUUAUACAUAUUUCCAAUUGGCAAAACGGGUAUGGUCUUAUGGAGUACAGCCGGUUUCUGCCCCGCUGUUGGAGACGAAGAAUGCGCGUGACUUGAAUCCGUGGGCCGUCUUUCAUGGGGCGUUGAAGUGACGAUUGUUCAUCCAGAAACAGAGGCUGCCAGGGGAGCUCUGGGUCUGAGGCCCUUUUGUAAUGAAGGUAGGUCCGUACCACCAUGCAAUUUAGUUUAGUAGUAAAACAAUAUGCUAUAAUCCACUUUGCUCAUAACAUUGCUUUUAAGAAGACCUUGUCCUGAUAGCUAUAGUUUCAACGAAUUCACAUUCACGGGGUAUUGUAUAUUCAGAUUCAGAUAACUUGGGUAUGGCCACCCUAGUAAUGUGCUAAGAGAGUUUUAUAAGUUACAAGAGUUUCAGCAUUUACAGUGUCUAUAUUUGUUUCUUCGGCCACCAGAUAAAAGAUGCCACCAACCUUGCACUUGUUUACAGAAAAUGUAAAUAAACUUAACAAAAAGGAAAAAAAAAGGAGAGAGAAUUUUGUUGGCAUUCUUGUGUGGUCCCUUCAUGUGGAUGUUGUAUGUCACUUUGAGCUAUAUACAUAUGAUUCAAUAUCAGUGGUCUAAUUUGAAUUUGUUAGUGCAUUCCUGAUGGCUGUUUUUACUCGAGCUUCAGUGACACUUUGUCCCUUAUGGGCGCUAGCAUAGGUUACCUAGGCGAGGAGUAUACAUCUGAGAUUUUGGAUAGUGAAGAAUGGUUGAGGACAGGAGAUCUUUGUUACAUUGACCAAGACAGAUUCGUUUACAUUGUGGACCGGCCGAAAGAGUUAAUUAAGUACAAAGGCUACCAGUUGGUAUCCACCAGGAGAUCUAGUGUUAGAUUUUUUUCUAAUCAGCAUUUGCAUGACACAUCACUCCAUCAGAGCAUCUGAUCUGUUACGGACUUACAGUGUCAGUUUGCCUUCUCUCCUGAAUUCUGAUGGAAUCUGUUUCAUUCAGGUGCCUCCUGUAGAACUUGAAAGCCUACAUUCAGGUGCCUCCUGUAGAACUUGAAAGCCUACUUCAGAUACACACAGAUAUUGAUGAAAUCGCAGUUGUCCCGUAGGUGUAUACAUACAUACACCCAGAAAACUUGCGAAAUCAACUCUGCAGUACACUAAUAGAAAGUUUCCUUCAAAAGAGAAAGACACUAGCUAAUGGAAUAAUUCAUGCUAACUAUUCUUCAUUAUACAGAUACUCUGAUGAUAAGGCUGGAGACUGCCGACAGUGUUCAUCGUCAGACGCCCAGGAAGUCACUUGCACAAAUCACACAUCAAAGAAUUUGUCGCCAAACAGGUUUGCCGCUGGCUCAACACAAACAAUUUUGCAAGAAUAGUAACCACUGAUGUUUUUUUUUGUAAGAGAAGAUGGAGCUCUGUUGAGUUGCUGGCCUAAUAACCCUUAUCAUUUGUCAUGCAGGUCCUUGUGGAUUCGUCAAUAAAGAAAAUGCGGCGGGUUAAGAUUGUCCGGCCAAGCUAGCAUUGCGGCAACAUAUUAGCUCCAAGCUGUAGCAUGUGUAUGUGGUGUAAUUUUUUGUUGGAUAAUAAGUAGGUAGAUCAGUUGCAAUGUCAUGUCAGUGUGUCACGCCCUCACCAUGACUGUAUAAAAGUACUAGCAGAUAUCACAUUUGUAAUCAGUUUAAGACAUUGAGAGUAAUUUAGUAAAUGUGAAUUUUAAAUUAUAUGCAGUGUGUAAAUACCUGUAGAUUGAGAUUGUGAUGAAUUUGUAGUUGUACCCUGGAAUAUUUUUUUCUUAGCCUCUGCAAAGUGCAAACGUAUCUCCAAUCUUAUCGUAAUUUUGUUUUAAUAGUGGAACUCCGAGCAUCAAAAAUUAAAUUCAAAUAUUUGCCACAUGUAUCGAUAUUCGUUCGGUUUGGAAAAGAAAGAGGCAAAACAACACUGAUAACAAAUUUAGGUGAGAAAGACAGAGAUGAUAUGAUGAAUGCAUAACAGUCUGUGAUCAUCAAGAAAGACUGCACAAGAAUUAAGAUGGUGCUGGAGAAUACAGAGAUGGAUAGAUCGGAGAUUGGUGUCACUCUUGUUGAAUCGAAAAGCCUCAUGCGCCUGCUGCGGGAUUGGAGAAUAUUCCAAGUAAGUGCUUGAUGUUAUCGGUGUGUGUUGGUGUGGAUUACGGUGGAAUUUUAGUUCAAGUUCUACUCCAAUCCACCUUAACACAUGUGGAUUGAUGUGAAUCCGACUACAUUCCAAACAAGGCCUAAAGAGAGAUGAAAACAAAGUAGCAAAUUCUUUAGCUAGUUUAGCUAAGCGAUGUAAAUUUUCAGAAGCUAGAUGGGGAUCAGCGCAUGCGAGCGCCAAGGAUCUGCUUAUGGCUGAUUGUAACAUUGUGUUACCUAAUUAAUAAAACCCUCUCUUUACUCGAAAAAAAAAAGAACGCAUAACAGUCUCUAAUAGGAACUGCAGAGUUAAGUUAUUCAUUCAAUUCAGGAUUGGUACUCUUCUUUACCACCAGCGUUUUCAACCCCUCAGAAAUGCUAAAAGAUGAUUUAAUUAUCAAGCGCAAAGGCAACUAAGUGGAACUUUAAAACAACAAAAAUUAACCAUCUUCCAUAAUAGUCGAUUGAUCGGUCUGGAACCAAAUUUGACAGAUCUCUCGAUGAGAGAAAAUGUACCGGUAAAUCAAGAACUUCAACAAAAUAGAAGCAAGCGGCAUUCUCUGCAGCAGUAAAUCAAGAACACCAAGAAAAGAAAAUAGAAGCAAUCAGUAUUCUCUGCAGAAUAGAUAUCCAUCCUAAGCUUUUCAAUCCAGUGAACCCAAAAGCUGGAAGUGCCCUCCGAGCCUGCGGGUCUCUUGGCUUUGGAUUCAGUAGCGGAGCAGCAGCAGCCUCAACGUGUAGACGCCACCCGGCAACCUUGCCGUCGUACUCGCGUGCACCAACGAAGCACCCAUGCCGCCGUCUCCGUCCGACCCCGACAUCGACCCGCGCAACGGCUACAGCGCGGCCAUGAGGAUGUUCUGCAACCUGCGUUCUCCGGCGCCGCUACCUCCGCCGGAACCCCCGCUCUCCUUCCCGUCCUUCGCCUUGUCCUUCCCAGUGCUCGUCCCUAUCCCACCCGGCGCUCGUCGACGCUAGCACUGGCGCCGCCGUCCCAUUCCUGGCCUUCCUGUCCAGGACCCGCGCGCUCCGCGCCCACGUCCACGGUCCACCUCGCCCCGGCCAACCCGGCGCUCACCGCCGCCGAGGUCUCCCACCUACUCGCGCUGGACCCGGGGCGGUGCUGUACUCGUCGGGCACCACCGGGUGUCCGGAUGCAGCAAGGCGGCCGUGUUCACCCGCCGCAACCUCAUGCCCUGCACUGUCACGUGGGCGCCGGCGCCGUUGAUCGUUGAACAAGGAGAGCUAGGAGAGUGAAGCAGACAGAGAGCAAUAAAUGAAUCCUACCCGCAAUAAAUUUGAUGCACAGUGCAAAUCCACGUGUAUUUCCAUGUGAGCAGAUUAAGCUUAAUCGUGAGCCAGCCUAUACACGUAAGCGGGCGGAGCACGAAUCUCUGAAUAGAAUUGAACGGCAUGCGUGAGGGUGGGUACGUGCCGCGGUUGUUACCCGAAUAUUUUCGUCUUCCGAAAAUAUUUUCUCUUUGAUGAAUUAAGUUACAAAAACUAUAGCUGAUACAUAUGAUUUAACUAUUUCUAUAUAUUGUUGAUCGUGAAUUUUGCUACAGACACUUAAAUGGUUUAUGUCUAUAUGGAAUAGACCAAAAGCCACACAUAUUAUUUAUAUAGUCAGUAUAUCACUUUUUUUAAGUUUUUGUGAAUUUUUUUCACGAGACGUAGUAUUACCCAUGAGACACGCACUAAUAUUUACAUAUAAUACUCAAAUGUCUGACAGGAUGGUACAAAGAUGUGGUGGAACUUAUUUGUGAAUUUACUGACACACGAAAGAAAUUGAUAUCGGAGAUUUCUUCCUGCUAAUAUUAAAUAUUAUCUCGCAUCACGAAAAUGUCUAUAAAGUAGAGUUUGUAAGCCUGCGACGCCGUUAGGAAUGGCAACGGAUCCGUACCCGAUGGGUACUGGCCACCCGUACCCGCACCCACCAAGUCAAAACCUAUUCCAUCGGGUUACCCGCGAAAGCAGACGGGUAAGAAAUUCAUUCCGUACCCGCACCCGACGGGUAAUUCUUACCCGACGGGUAUUCCAUACCCGAAAAUAUACCCGAGUUCAACAGAAAUAUAACAACUUUUAGCAAGUUAAAUAUCACAACUUCUAGGAAAUUAAACAUAAUAACUUCCAGCAAAUUAAUAACGGCACUAGUAGCACACCAGCCGCUCAACACUUCCCACGUUCAGCCAAUCAGUUCAUGGGCUAUAUGGGCUAAAUUGCUUAGGUUGCUUACUCAUUUUGCGGGUAUUUCUUACCCACGGGUACGCGGGUAUGGGUACUUGAAAGCCCAAGUUUGGUUUUGGUAAUUAAUGACACCAAGUUGCUAAUGCCUUGUGUUUAAGUGAUUUGAGUUAGGCAUACCAACACAUGUGAUGAAGGUGCAUGGUGGCAUGGAAAGGUGGCCACAUGAUCACAAAGGGAUGAAGCAUAAAGUGAAGAUCAUGGUGAUAAACGAGGAGCAAAGUUAUCAAGGCAAAGGUAUAAACAUAGGGUUUUACUUUUGCCGGUCUAAGAUGAGUAGAGAAGUGAUUGACUGGAUUUAGGAUAGAUAGCUGACUAUCAAGAGGGGAAAUCACGGUCAUCUCUCGAAUCAAGUGCUACUAGGUCCAUAUCUUGAGCAUAUGCAUUAGGAUCUAGUAAAGUGCUAACUUAACUCCUUUGGUGAAAAUGUUUGUGAAAAGCUAACACACGUGCACUUUGGUGGUGGACACUUGUCGGUGUUAGCACAUUUACAAAGGAGGUGGAGUUCCUAGGGUUGAGAGGGGUGUGGUUGCGAGGCGGGAUUCGGCGCUUUUGAGAAAAUUAAGUGUAUAUUUUCUAUUGCGCCGGUGGGAAAUUUGGAGAAGUCGCGGAAGUGUUUCUCAGUUGAAAACACUCACCGGACGCUCAGUGUUGAGGCACCGAACGCUGGCCCGAGCGUCCGGUGUGCAGUCAGAGCUUGACUCUGCUAGGGUUGAGCACCGGACGCACUCUGAGAGCGUCUGGUGGUUAGCGUCCGGUGCGAGGGGUUUUUGCAACCCUCUCUGCGCACGAGUCCGGUGAGCACCGGACCGUCCGGUGCCCAGCGUCCGGUGAGGUCGCGAGUUUGACAAACUCUCUGCGCAUGAGUCCGGUGUGCACCGGACGCGUCCGGUGUGGACCUACAGAGCGUCCGGUGAUCCGCAGGUGACCGUUAGGAUCUGACACGCGAGACUCAGUACGGUCACGUGGCCAACCUCAGGGCACCGGACGCAGGGGGUCGAGCGUCCGGUGCUCACUUAGUAGCGUCCGGUGUGGUCGACUGCAGCACACUAAAAACAGCUAACGGCUAGUUUUUUUGUGUGUGCUUAUAAAUAGAAGGUGGCCGGCUUUGGGAGGUUCUCUCUUGCACAUUUGAUUACUUGAGGCAUACUUUGAGCUAGAGAACACUCCCUCCACUCAUCUCCUUGCUUGAUUGCUAAUCCUAGUGAGAUUGAGUGAGAUUCAAGUGCAUUGCUUUGAGAGUUGCAUUUAGUGGCACUUGAUUCUUGAGUUUGCUGCGGAUUUCUUGUUACUCUUGGGUGUUUCCCGACGCCCUAGACGGCUUGGAGCAGCGGUGGUGUUGUGCUCGUGCUUGGAGAUUGUUUCGAGCCUCACCAAGUGAUUUGUGAGGGGUUCUUGAGCCUUCCCCACGGGAGAUCGCAAUUGGCUACUCUAGUGGAUUGCUCGUGGCUUGGAGGAUCCUCUUCUUGUGAGUGGAUGUGCGGCACCCGCUGAGGGUUUGGCUUUGGAUUGCCAAUUAGCUCGUGAUCCAUCAAGUGGGUGUAUCGCCACAACGAGGACUAGCUUGCCGGGAAGCAAGUGAACCUCGGUAAAAAAUCUUGUGUCAUAUCUUGCCGAGAAUUCUCUUAUAAUUGUGAUUGAUUGAUUGGCUAUAUUUCUACUCUACAAUGUCGGUAUAACAAUCACUCACCUCUCCUUUACUUUUGUGCAUACCUUGCUAGUUGUGUAGCUUGUUUAGCUUAGUUCUUUGGUUGUUGUGCUUUAGUGUUUAGCCUUGUACUAGUUUUGUAUAGGUGGCUUGCUUAGCUUAGUUAAGCUAGUGCUAGAAUUGCUUCGCCAUUUGUUUUACUAACUCACUUGCUUAGUGAAGUUUGUAGAAAUUUUAAUAGGCUAUUCACCCACCCUCUAGCCAUUUGGACCUUUCAGUACUACUAUUCCACACCCGUACCCGCCAUACCCGAUGGGUAAAGGAUUUUGCCCAAUAACAUACCCGCGGGUACAGAAUCCAUUCCAUACCCGCGUUCUUAUCGGGUAAAACACGUCGGGUACUCGGGUUACGGGUACCCGUUGUCAUUUUGAGACGUCGUACUCUUCGUGACUUGUUUGAUUUCACAAACUUUUCUUUUUUUAAGAUAAUGUCACUUUAAAGUUUGUAUUUUAGUUUUACAAUAUUAUUAUUUUAUUAUGUGCUCCGUAUAUUUUAAAUAUAAAAGAUAGAUAUCCCGUAGCAAUGCACGGACAUGCUACCUAGUGUUUGAAAAGAACCAACCUAGGGUCAAACUUCUUAGAACCAUCGAUCCACUAAAAAAAUAACACAUCUCAUCGUUUGAUAAAAGUUAAUAACACCAUCAUAUCAAAGAAACAACAUUAACUAUUUACAAAGGUUACUUACACGAUAAGCGUGAUACGUGUAGUAGGUCUAUAUGUUGUAGUAUCCGGAUGCUUCAAUUAAAACCCAUGGGCUAGCUUAUUGCAAUCACACUUAGGAUGAACAUGUGUAUCUUUAUAUGACACAUCCGAGUAUAAACCUUUGGGAUGACCCUUCUUUCGUCACUUCUCCCUAUGCCACAUGUCCUCCAUCUUCAACAUUAGAGGGUACAAACAAAUCAAAUCCAUUAUUGUUGACUACCAACACUUCAUUGCAACUAAGGGAAAAAUUAUACUCUUGCACAAUCACAUUGCAUCAUAGAUUCCUCAAAAUUAAAACUGAAGAGUGCCAUACAUGUGUAGCGCACAAUUAAGCACUCAUAGCUAAGCCAUACAACUAAUUCCUCAUAACUUACAUCCAAUAAUUUGCACUCCAUGAUUUCAUUCGAAAUCAAGAACAUUCACCAAACUAGGGUUCCAAAAAUACUCAUUAAAUACACCAAACCAAUGUGUUAAAAUUGAGGAGGGGAUGGAGGAUACCUUGUUGUUUAAAAUCCACAUAUCAAAUCCUAGCUUUAAAGAUCCAAUAAGAUAUUGGAGAGGGUAGGACGAAUGAAGUGGGAGAGUGACAAGUGAGGGAAGAAAGGAGGGCACUUUGGCCCAUGUGCCCUUAAGUUCAAUGCUUGGACCUUGUUUAGAUCUUUUUUUUGGAUUUUGACACUGUAACACUUUCGUUUUUAUUUGACAAACAUUGUCCAAUCAUGAAGUAACUUGGCUUAAAAGAUUUGUCUCGCUAUUUACAGGUAAACUGUGCAAUUAGUUUUUGUUUUUAACUAUAUUCAAUACUCUAUGCAUAUGCCGCAAGAUUCAAUAUGACGGGGAAUCUUGAAAAAUUUUUGGUUUUGGGGUGAACUAAACAAGGCCUUGGUGUCAUAGCAUGUGCCGCCGAGGUGCCGCCACGUCAACAUCACCUUGGCGCGCCCACCACUUGGAUGCUUGAGGGCAAGGAUGGCAACGGGGAAUUCCCCGUCCGGGAACGACCCCCCAUCCCCGUCCCCAUGGAGGUAAAAAAUCCCCGUCCCCGUCCCCGCGAAAGGUUACGGGGAUAAUUUCUUUCCCAUCCCCGUCCUCGCUCGGGGAAUCAAUCCCCGCGGAGAUCCCCAUCCCCGAAUAAAUUCAUCAUGGUCACCCAUCCCAAAUAACAGUCCACAAGCAAUAAUAUACAUACAUUCAUAGUGAUUACAAUCCACAAAUAAAGACUCAGAUCAAUAAAAAUGCAUCCUAAAUUGCUUCACGCAUCUCAUCAAACUGAAGUACCCAGCUUUUGGACUUAUCCCCACACAAGGACAAAAUAAGAGUCCAAAAUAGAUUUGUUACGGAGACACGGGAAGGCCAAAUCUUGCACAGGUAUCCGAUAGUGUUAGCAACUGCCUGCUAGCUUGAAGAGCUGGGGAGGAAGUGGAUCUUGCCUCACGCACGUGCUGUCGCAGGCUCCCGAGCCGUCAUGCGUGGCUGCCGGUCUUCAUCCCAGGCUGCAAGGAGCUAUCGAUCUAGGACUAGGAUGGAUCCGAGGACUGGUGGUGGCGCUGGACUCCGGCGUUGAUGCGAGGUGCUAGCACGCUGUUCGGUGGCAGCCUGGCUGGUCUGCCGUGCGGUGUGCACUAUGGUCUGGACGAGCGGCGGCUGGAGUCUGGAACGAAGAGGUUGAGGAGUGGGGACUUAGGUUUAGCUGUUUACUUGUGCUUGUGCGUAUAUAUACUCCAUGUGACUUGGGCUUUUAGAUGGGGCUUCAGUCCUGACGUCUCACGUAUGCUCGACGGGGAGGGUUGGCGGGGAUCGGGGACGGGGUCAGCAAACCAUCUCCGCCCCCGUUAUCCCCGAUGGGGAUUAAUUCUCUCCCAAAUCCAUCCCCGUGGGGAGUAAUUUGUCCCUAUUUUCAUCCUUUAAUAGGGGAAUUCUCCGUGGGGACACGGGGAUUGGGUCCCCGUUGUCGUCUUGACUUGAGGGUUGGCACUAAAUCCUGUGACGGCAAGACGUGCAACCUCGCCUGUAGUUUAGAUUCAAAAAUAGUCACUUAGGGUGUUAUUGUGAACACCUUUCGAAAAAGACUAAAAAACAAAAGGUGAUAGCUUCUCCUCUCUUCAUAGAUUUUUACAGUUUUUUCUUACUUUUUUCAUAGCGGAAUUUAUUAUUGGGCCAAUGGCUUAUUUUCUCUGCCGACAUGGUGCAAGUAAACCUGCCCAAAACGACCAAUUCCAUGGUGUAACACGCAUCCAGUCCACCCCACCCCACCCCACCCCACCCCACGGUUUCUGCUCCAUGAUCAAACCCAACCAAACCACCUGACAUUAAACCAAACCAGACUACACCCAACUACUCAACCGGUUUGAAUUCAUUUGAAACCUGUUUUUCUAGAGAUGAUUUCUACCUUCCGCUCUAAUGCUCUAUGCAUUGGGCUCCACUUUACUAACCUACUAUUUGGACACCAAUCCUCACAGAUAAAUUAAAAAUUAUUAUUUACUUAUCGUUGGAUCACGUAAUUUCAUUAAAGUAAAGUAUAAAAUUUAAAAAAUGCAAACAAACCAAAUUAAUAUUUAAAUAAAAAACAUGAGGAGAAUUCUAAUAAUUAAAAAAAUUCAAUCUAUUAACUAGGUGUUAGAAAAAGUUUAAAAGUUGUGAAAACCAUUGUAUUAUUUGUGUUUCUCAAACACAUCUCAAAAUCUAAAUAUUUUAGGAUGUACUCCCUCCAUCUCUUUUUAAUUGUCGCUUGCGCUUCCCGAAAAACAACUGCCGACAAUUAUAUAUUAAAAAAUAUUAAUAUUUAUAAUACAUAAUUAGUAUCAUUAGAAAGAUCUUUGAAUCUAGUUUUUUAACAAAUUUAUUUGGAGGUACAAAUGUUACACGUAUUUUCUACAAAUCGAGUCAAACUUGUGACACGCAUACCAACGGCGACAAUUAAAAGAGGACAGAGAGAGUAUUUUUUAAAAGAGAUGUGUGCAUGGUUCUAUUACAACGCUUGGGCAUACAUUCUACUUCUUAUGUUCAAAAUUAUAAGAUAUAUUUUGACUUUUUUAAUACAAAAAGGAUGUAGGUAGUAAAUAUAAACAUAGUAUAGUUCAAGUUGUUUAGUUCACCCUAAAGAUCAAAAACUUUUCAAGAUUUCCCGUCACAUCGAAUCUUGCGGCAUAUACAUGUAGCAUUAAACAUAGAUGAAAACAAAAACUAAUUUGUACAGCUGUAAAUCGCGAGAUGAAUCUUUUAACCCUAAUUACUCUAUGAUUGAACAAUGUUUGUCAAAUAAAAACAAAAGUGCUACCAUGUCGAAAUCCAAAAAAUUUUCGGAUCUAAACAAGGCCUAAAUAAAGACAUACAAAUAGGGAAAGCCUGACUGGCAAAAAUUCACGUUUAAUUUCCGUGUGUAUAUAUCUACUAGUAAAGCAAAAUAUAUAAGAACGAUUCAGGCAAAAAAAAAAAAUCACGCCAUUUGGGGCUGCAGCUGGAUCUACUAAUCUAGAGAAAUUUCAAUAUUUAGGACUCAAUUCGUCUGCCUCGCAAGAUUUAGGAUCCAAUUCGUUUGCUAUUUAGGACUCGACAUGCGAAUUACUUCAAAAUUUGAGAUUUCAGCAAUUUUAUCUCAUUUUCUCUUUUUCUUUGAUCUUUUCACCUCUCGUGGUCACCUAAAAAGACCAACUACCCCUAGCGUCCUAGAACAUAUCCAUCUCAUUUGAUUCCAAAGCUCGUUGCCGGUGUCAAGCGCCAUGGCGAAGUUCUGCGGCAGCAGGCCGACGAUGAUCAAGACGGUGAGGCUGACGUUGUGGUGGCACUGUAGCUUGCUCGUGCAGCCGGGGCGCCCCGCCGGUGCCUGCCGCGCCCGCAGCAAGAACGCUCGAGGCUUCGAGCCCGGCGGCCUCGGCAGCUCGCCGGCGAUGGACCAUGGCCGCGGCACGGCGACGAGCAAGAUGAGGAGACAAACGAGCCGCGGAGGCGGCAUGGUGGUGAUUACAACCCUGCUGCAGUAGAUGGACGCGAUGGGCGGCUGAGAGGCACCGUGUCGGGGGCGUAAUGAAGCCAAUCUUUCUAUUCUAUAAUGAGUCAGGGGUAGUUUGGUCCUUUCAGAUGGCUAGGAGAGAAGAGAAUAUUUCAGAAAAGGGAAAUAAGAUAAAAUGACUUAAAUCCUAAAUCUUGAAGCAAUUCGCAUACUCAGUCCUAAAUAUUGAAAGGCACACGAAUUGGAUCCUAAAUCUUGUGAGGCAGACGAAUCUAUACCUAUCUAUAAAGAGGGAAAAUUUCAGUCUGCCCAAAAGUUUUCUUCCGUCAUGUCCUAUAUCCGGUUCCGUCUAGAACAGCGCGUGGUACGUUGUGGAGGAGGAAAAAAUGAAUAAAACCUUUUCUAGGGUUCUCAAUGCAAAAUCUCCUAUAUAUAUUAGAGCAUGUUAAAAAUAAAAAAAGUACAGGGGUUUAAGUACAAAUCUGUGCGCAGCCUAUCCGGCUUCAUCCACAAAUUGGGCCCGAAGGUAGACUUUUUGGAAGAGGAAAAAAAGAAUAGAAGUUUUUCUAGGGUUCUCAAUGCAAAAUCUCAUAUAAAAAUUAAAAAAUGUGUAGUAAUUCAUAGAAAAAAUCUAAAAAUUACAAAAAAAAAAUUCAGCUCCAUAUGUUUAGAUCAAUGCAGUAAACAAAAAAUAUCACAAAUUUUAGUAUAUUUUUUUUGUUGGAGAUGCUUGUCUAUGAUUUUUAGUAUAAAAUUGAAAUUGUAGUUAUCUUGCUCUAAUUAUUAUGAAAAUUUUAUGAUAGCCUAUUUGAUGUGAUGCUUGAUUUGUGGUAAAAGUUUUAGCACAAUUCCUAUAUAUCUCACCGAUUUACUAAUUUACCUAAAUUUAUGCUUGAUGAUGCUUCCACUACCUUUGCAUGAUGUGUUGUUAUUUCAUAUGAACACUUUAUAAGUCCAUGUGUUCAUAAUCUACGUACAUUUAACUGAUAUAUCAUAUUUCAUAGGAAUCAACAAAAACUUCUCAUGUUUUAAUAUAAUACUAAGGUAUAUUAAGAGGUAAUAUUAAAGUAAGAUAAGGUUUGACUAACUUCUAUUUUAUUAUUAAAUAAAUAUGUCUCUAAGCUACAUAUUAUUUUAAAUAUUAACUAUCUAAUACCAUAGAUGUCAUGUUGCUACAUAUCUCACUGAUUUACUAAUUUACCUAAAUUUAUGCUUGAUGAUGUUUCCACUAUUGCAUGAUGUGUUGUUAUUUCAUAUGAACACUUUAUAAGUCCAUGUGUUCAUAAUCUACGUACAUUUAACUGAUAUAUCAUAUUUCAUAGGAAUCCUAAUCUAGAUAAAAAAUAAAACUAGCAACAAACUUCUCAUGUUUUAAUAUAAUACUAAGGUAUAUUAAGAGGUAAUAUUAAAGUAAGAUAAGGUUUGACUAACUUCUAUUUUAUUAUUAAAUAAAUAUGUUUCUAUGCUACAUAUUAUUUUAAAUAUUAACUAUCUAAUACCAUAGAUGUCAUGGUUAUCAAUGAAAUAACUUAUGGACUUUAAAUUUUAUAAAAAAAUAAAUAUAAAUAAAUAUGUAAUAUUAUAUCAUAACUUUCUAUGGCUAUUUGAUGUUUUUUCUCUCAUUGCAACGCACAGUAAAAAACAAUCUCAAGAUUUACAUAGACUUCGGCUUACCAAUAAAAAAAUGUAUUGUUAGCUUCUUGUCUUUUCACGAACAAUGCACAAAUUGACAGAAACUUAUAUAAUUUAUAUAAAAUCAAAAUCAAAUCUAAAAAUUAUAAUUCAAAAGUUUAUUUGAAUCCUUUCAACCAGAGAGUAUAAGGUGUCAUUGCGCGUGAAAUAAAAAUCCUAAAAAGUCUAAGAGCAUGUAUAUAAAUUAUAUAUGGAUAGACUGCUUCAAAGUUAGUUUUAAAAGCUUAAAAAUUAUCAAAUUUAAUACAAAGGAUAAAACAUAAAUAAAUAUAACAAAGUGCUUAUUUUCUGCAAACGUCUAUUUACUCCUGUAGCAACGUACGGACAUAUUUUGCUAGUUGAGUCGUAAAUAUUGAAAUUUGUCACUAAUCUAGCGACGAGUCCUCGGCUACAGCAGGUUCCUCUCGAGCCCGAACGGUUGAUGGGCCCCACCGCCUCUUCUGUCAUUAAAAAAAAAAGGAAAAUAAAAACAAGAGAAGCCCCGCCUGCGCUGAACGCCUGUACUCCGCAAUCGAUCUAAUCUGCUCUCUCGCCGAUUCGCGUCACCGAGCUCAACGCGAACUCGCCGAUUCGCCGAUUCGCCGGCCGCUCAUCUCCUCUGCAUCAUCGCCGAUUCGCCGAGCUCUCGACAUCCCCAUCUUGACGGCCGCUGCCACCUCGACCUCGCUGCUCCUGGUACGCCCACCCUCCGCCGCCGCCGCCGCCGCCGCCGCCGCAGACGCCAAGAUGUUUGAUUUCUUUGUGGUGAUCGAUUUUGAGGCGACCUGCCAGGAAGGCUCGGUGAUCUACCCACAGGAGAUCAUCGAGUUCCCGUCCGUCCUCGUCGACGGCGCCACCGGCCGGACGCUGUCCACCUUCCGCACCUAUGUCCGCCCUCGGCACCAUCCCCGUCUCACCGAUUUCUGCCGCGAUCUCACCGGAAUCACCCAGGGAGACGUUGACGCUGGAGUCAGCCUCGCUGAGGCACUAGAGAUGCACGACCACUGGCUCGAAGCACAUGGUGCUAAGCUGGGCAAGCUCGCCGUUGUAACCUGGGGAGAUUGGGACUGCCGCACAAUGCUGGAGGGGGAAUGCCGCUUCAAAGGUAUAGAAAAGCCUCACUAUUUCGAUCACUGGAUUAAUCUAAGGC